CACCUACCUAGCGUGUGGGCGUGAGGCGUCGCCAUCAUGGUUCACCUGUCUGCUGCGUGUCUGCUUUCAGAGGGAGGUCCCAAGACGGUCCUUCCCCGUCAUAAUAAAGUCGCCUUGGGACGCCUCAUUGGAAGAUAUUUUGACGAUACCUCCAUGCGACUUGUCCAGGGUGUAUGCAGCUGGGAUAGGCUACAGCCACCCCCUGCGACACCGAGAGGGACAAAAUGGAUGGAUGGAUGUCAUUUAUCAACAUAUUGUACAAUUUAGUCGUCAUCAUGCACAACGUGUCAGACCGGUUGCAUGGCCUCCCAUCAGGGCCGUAGUGGAGUAUUCACUGUCAACGACUCAUCGCGUUCUCAUCAUAACUGGAUGACUUUCACCAUUAGACGCCAAUGAUGAGUCAUGAAGACGCCGGGUGUCAAACAUGAUACCGACGGCUUCCUCGUGAGUGACGCCCUCCAGUGGCUGCCCAUUCACGGCCAUGAUCUGGUCCCCACGCUUCAGGCGGCCGUCGUCUGCCGCCGCCCCCUUUGCAAACACACAAAAAGACGUCGAUUAGUUACCCAAGGUCCGCUGUAUAAAACAAACGUCUGGCGCGUACCUUUCCGAAAACAGUUUUCACGUAAAUUGGCAGAUCCCCAUGGGGGCUGCCAUAGCCUCCGACGAUACUGAAGCCCAACCCAUCAGGUCCUCUCUCCAGAGUGAUAGUCUUAUAUUGCGGUGGGCUGAUGGCGACACAGUGAGACUUUUAAACACUCUCCUAGACCCCCACCCCUGCUUGAGUACUGGUGUAUUACUUUGUCAAUGAUCUACAUUAUUUGCACACAUUAUGCAGCAGGUUCAAACCUGAGCUCAUCCUGAAAGAUGCAGCUAGCUGUGAGGCCCCCAGUCGCUUGAUCAUGAGCUGGACCGGUCACGGUGUUAUCGCCACCUGCCACCACCUUUAAAAAAAAAAAAUUAAAAAAAAAUCAAAACACAGAUUGCACUUCGUACGUAUAUAUUAGGAUGUGAAUGUAGUGUUGUCUUGCCUGCAGCUUUAUCGUCCCUGUGGCGUUCUUGAGGAGCAUGACGGCUUGAGAAUGGCUCAUGCCCUCAGUCGAGGUUUCGCCAAUACUGACGAUCCGGUCCCCGACCUAUAGGAGAAUAUUGUACACUUUAGUACUAUGCAGCAGGAUGAAGCACAUGCUUUUAUCUUUAUUGUUUUAUUCUAAUUAAUUUAUUACAUUUUAUUUUUGUUUAUUUAUACAGUUUUACAUUUUAAAAAUCAGAAGCAUGGGUUGUACGUAUAUAUUUUUUUAUGUAGUCCAGGCAUUUGUAGUUAUUUUGUUUUACUAUUGUUUAUAGUUAAAACAAUUACCAUUAAUUUUAUGUUAUUUAAAAAAAUAUACAUUUUAUAUUUCAAAAGAUUAAUUUUGCAUCU
Long non-coding RNA from Entelurus aequoreus (snake pipefish), 1420 nucleotides. RefSeq lists it as uncharacterized. The transcript has 4 exons. NCBI's taxonomy places the organism in Eukaryota, Metazoa, Chordata, Actinopteri, Syngnathiformes, Syngnathidae. The record is from RefSeq and is a predicted model, not a curated record.